CCUACGGGUGGCAGCAGUGAGGAAUAUUGGUCAAUGGGCGGAAGUCUGAACCAGCCAAGUCGCGUGAGGGAAUAAGGCCCUACGGGUCGUAAACCUCUUUUGCCGGGGAGCAAGGGCGGGGACGUGUCCCGGCCCGGAGAGUACCCGGAGAAAAAGCAUCGGCUAACUCCGUGCCAGCAGCCGCGGUAAUACGGAGGAUGCGAGCGUUAUCCGGAUUUACUGGGUGUGAAGGGAGCGCAGGCGGCACGGCAAGCCUGAUGUGAAAGCCCGCGGCCCAACCGCGGGACUGCAUUGGGAACUACCGGGCUGGAGUGCCGGAGAGGUAGGCGGAAUUCCUAGUGUAGCGGUGAAAUGCGUAGAUAUUAGGAGGAACACCAGUGGCGAAGGCGGCCUACUGGACGGUGACUGACGCUGAGGCUCGAAAGCGUGGGGAGCAAACAGGAUUAGAUACCCCGGUAGUC
Molecule: ribosomal RNA, 461 nt
Filed under: uncultured bacterium
Lineage: Bacteria
Description: partial 16S ribosomal RNA
Rfam family: Bacterial small subunit ribosomal RNA
Source: RNAcentral